Molecule: ribosomal RNA, 460 nt
Filed under: uncultured bacterium
Lineage: Bacteria
Description: partial 16S ribosomal RNA
Rfam family: Bacterial small subunit ribosomal RNA
Source: RNAcentral
CCUUCGGGAGGCUGCAGUGAGGAAUAUUGGUCAAUGGGCGCGACCCUGAACCAGCUAAGUAGCGUGAAGGAUGACUGCCCUACGGGUUGUAAACUUCUUUUAUAAAGGAAUAAAGUGAGGCACGUGUGCCUUUUUGUAUGUACUUUAUGAAUAAGGAUCGGCUAACGCCGUGCCAGCAGCCGCGGUAAUACGGAGGAUCCGAGCGUUAUCCGGAUUUAUUGGGUUGAAAGGGAGCUUAGAUGGGUUGUUAAGUCAGUUGUGAAAGUUUGCGGAUCAACCGUAAAAUUGCAAUUGAUACUGGCAGGCUUGAGUACAGUUGAGGGAGGCGGAAUUCGUGGUGUAGCGGUGAAAUGCGUAGAUAUCACGAAGAACUCCGAUUGCGAAGGCAGCUUACUAAACUGCCACUGACAUUGAUGCUCGAAAGUGUGGGUAUCAAACAGGAUUAGAGACCCGGGUAGUC